RNAcentral lists this unclassified non-coding RNA (594 nucleotides) under Capsicum annuum. RNAcentral's name for it is "contains ITS1, 5.8S rRNA and ITS2". The stretch from base 264 to 419 matches the Rfam family "5.8S ribosomal RNA". The record is from RNAcentral. Lineage: Eukaryota; Viridiplantae; Streptophyta; Magnoliopsida; Solanales; Solanaceae.
CUGCGGAAGGAUCAUUGUCAAAAACCUGCAUAGCAGAAUGACCCACGAACGUGUUUAACAACUGGGGAGCCCACGUUGGCAGAGUGCUUCAGCAGCACGAGAACCUUCCCUCGUCCUCGGUGCAUGCACCCAGUACGCGCGUCGGGCGACUAAUGAACCCCAACGCGAAAAGCACCAAGGAAUACUUAAAUUGACAGCCUGCACCUCACUCUCCAUUCGUGGCCUGUAUCAAGCGGACGUGUGCUUCUCUUAUAAAUAAAAAUUACUCUCGGCAAUGGAUAUCUUGGCUCUCGUAUUGAUGAAAAACAUAGUGAAAUACAAUACUUGGUGUGAAUUGCAGAAUCCCGUGAACCAUUGACUCUUUGAACGCAAGUUGCGCCUGAAGCCAUUAGGCCGAGGGCACGUCUGCCUGGACAUCAUGCAUCGCGUCACCCCCUUGCAUCGCACCUUAAUCAUGGGGUGCGCUUCCAUCACAGGGCGGAUACUAGCCUCCCGUUAACCUCACUCGCGGCUGGCCUAAAUGCGAGUCCAGUCAAUGAACGUGAAGUGCGUGGUUGUAACUCAACUCUCUUUGCUCGCGGCUACAGCCUGUCG